Molecule: ribosomal RNA, 728 nt
Filed under: Placopsis cribellans
Lineage: Eukaryota; Fungi; Ascomycota; Lecanoromycetes; Trapeliales; Trapeliaceae
Description: SSU rRNA
Rfam family: Eukaryotic small subunit ribosomal RNA
Source: RNAcentral
CUUAYUUGGAUAACCGUGGUAAUUCUAGAGCUAAUARUGCUAAAAACCUCGACUUCGGAAGGGGUGUAUUUAUUAGAUAAAAAACCAAUGCCCUCCGGGGCUCCUUGGUGAUUCAUAAUAACUAAACGAAUSGSAUGGCCUUGCGCCGGCGAUGGUUCAUUCAAAUUUCUGCCCUAUCAACUUUCGAUGGUAGGAUAGUGGCCUACCAUGGUGGCAACGGGUAACGGGGAAUUAGGGUUCUAUUCCGGAGAGGGAGCCUGAGAAACGGCUACCACAUCCAAGGAAGGCAGCAGGCGCGCAAAUUACCCAAUCCCGACACGGGGAGGUAGUGACAAUAAAUACUGAUGUGGAGCUCUUUAGGGUUUCACAAUUGGAAUGAGAAAAAUCUAAACCACUUAAACGAGGAACAAUUGGAGGGCAAGUCUGGUGCCAGCAGCCGCGGUAAUUCCAGCUCCAAUAGCGUAUAUUAAAGUUGUUGCAGUUAAAAAGCUCGUAGUUGAACCUUGGGCCUGGCCGGCCGGUCCGCCUCACCGCGUGCACUGGUUCGGCCGGGCCUUUCCUCCUGGGGAACCGCAUGCCCUUCACUGGGUGUGCCGGGGAAUCAGGACUUUUACUUUGAAAAAAUUAGAGUGUUCAAAGCAGGCAUUUGCUCGAAUACAUUAGCAUGGAAUAAUAGAAUAGGACGUUGUGGUUCUAUUUUGUUGGUUUCUAGGACCGCCGUAAUGAUA